AUGACAUUCAUUUAUCACCUUAUAUUUUUAAAGUAGCUUAAUUGUGAUCUUAAUGAUUAGUUUAUUUUACAGUGGAGAUUAUUGAUAUGAAUGCAGAUUUUCUGGUAUGUAUCUGUUUUUUAGCUAUGAAGGUGCCACCUUAUCAGAGACCUCCCAUUUGCCUUUUCAUUAGGGUAAAAUCUUUACCCUGAUUUACUAAAGUGCAAAAGAAUUAUUUAGAAGCAAUUAUUUUAAUUUUAUGCUACGGAUACAUUUAAUCAUUUUAGUAUAUAAAUUUUUGCCCUGUUGCAGGUAUAAUUAUUUCCCUUUCCUUCAUAAUGAAUAAGUUUUCUCACCUUUGAAUAACAGUGAAGUUUGUUUUUAUGUCUAUACCAAGUUCUUUUGGUAUAGUCCAGAUGAUUUUAUAGGGACCUGGGUCUAUAGCAGUCAACUGACCUACAAAUCUUUCCUUCUUUUAUUGAUAGAAAAAUACCAUUGAAAUGUUAUUCUUUUUUUAAAUCCUAAUUAAUUGUUUCGUUUCUUUAAUAAUUAUUUUAGUUUAAUUAUCCUAAUAAACAAUGAUUUGAUUUAUUCUUGUCUAACUUGAAACUAUCUUGUGCUUUCUGUUUGUUUAG
Molecule: long non-coding RNA, 614 nt
Filed under: Bos taurus (domestic cattle)
Lineage: Eukaryota; Metazoa; Chordata; Mammalia; Artiodactyla; Bovidae
Description: long non-coding RNA NONBTAT006553
Source: RNAcentral